CUAGGUCCUACUAUUUUGCACUGACUUUGAUUAAACCUUCUCUUUCGGUUGGUGUCUUUGUUUGCGUAAUCGGACGCCUUGAAUCUUCAUAUCGGAGACGAUAACAAUGGCGUCGCUUCUUACGACGGGGCUCAUACAAUCUCAUCAUCUCUCUUGGAGAAUCCAUCGAGUCAAGCUCUUAUCUUGCUCCACAGAUUUGCCCACUCGGAAGGUUGUCAAGGAAUCAAAGCUUUCUAGAGAUUCCAGUCGAAAGAUCAAAGUCGUAGACUAUGCUCCACUCAUCGAAAGCUUAAACCGAAGAAGAUUGCCUGAUGAAGCUCAUGAGAUUUUCAUCCAAAUGAAAUCAGACAACUUGCUGCCUAACUACAGAACGCUUUCCGCUCUUAUGCUCUGCUUUGCUCAAAACGGUUCUGUCCUUCGAUCGCGUGCCAUCUGGGAGGAGAUUCUAAACAGCUCUUUCGUCCCUGAUCUCCUUGUCAUCUCAAAGCUCAUGUCUGCUUACGAGCAGAUUGGUUGUUUUAGUGAAGUUUCCAAAAUCACCAGGGACAUAAGUGCAAGACAUCCUAAGCUGCUUCCCGUCGUAUCCUCACUUGCUAUUUGCUGUUUUGGAAAGAAGGGUCAGUUGGAAUUGAUGGAGGAUGCUAUAGAUGAAUUGGAUUUAAAUGAGAUCUCCUUAGACUCGGCCACUGCUAACGCAGUUGUCAGAUACUAUAGCGUUUUUGGUACUCUAGAGAAGAUGGAGCAGGCUUAUAGCCGGCUUAAGAAGUCUGGUGUUGUGAUAGAGGAAGGAGAGAUAAGAGCUGUGUUGUUAGCAUACUUAAAACAAAGGAAGUUUUAUCGGCUUCGUGAGUUUUGUUCAGACCUUGGUCUUGGUAGGAGAGACCUGGGGAAUAUGUUAUGGAACUCUGUGUUACUGUCGUAUGCAGCUGACUUUAAGAUGAAAAGCUUGCAGAGAGAGUUCAUUGAAAUGCGUGGCGCUGGUGUCUCUCCUGACCUUACCACAUUUAACAUACGUGCUCUUGCGUUUUCUAGGUUGGCUCUUUUCUGGGAUCUGCAUCUUACGCUUGAACAUAUGAGAGUUUUUGACAUUGUUCCGGAUCUCGUGACUUUUGGAUGUGUGGUCGAUGCGUACAUGGAUAAGAGGCUAGCGAGGAAUUUGGAAUUUGUAUACAACCGAAUGAACCUGGACGACUCUCCUGUUGUUUUAACUGAUCCACUCGUCUUUGAAGUACUGGGGAAAGGAGAUUUCCAUCUUAGCUCAGAAGCUGUUUUGGAGUUUGGUCAACGGAGAAACUGGACGUAUAGAAAGCUAAUUGGAGUUUAUCUCAAAAAGAAGUUGCGAAGAGACCAGAUUUUCUGGAAUUACUAACCACCUCUUUGCCGCAGCGCAGCGUGAUAAACUUAUCAGAUGCUUAAAACACUGAGUUAGUUUAGCAUGUCUGUGAAGCCAUACUUAUUGGUUACAAACCUAUCCUUGUUGCAAUAUAUUUUUGUGUUUCCGACACCCUGAUAGGUAAUUCGAAGAGGCCAAAUGAACUGCUGACAUGGACAAGAUAUAAAGAGAUAGACUCUGGUGGACUUGGAAGGUUUUCGGUUGAAGAAGACUCACGACGAAGGCCUAGAUAUAAAUAGAGUUCUUCUUCAUUUGUUGUUCAUGCUUUGAAUGUUGUUGUAGAAAGACCCUAUGAGUCUUCUCUCUCAGUCGCCAAGAAAAUGAUGAUUCAUGUUAUGUUGUUAUGUUCGCCAUGAGAGUGUAGCUUCGAAGCUGUAUCGUUUUCUUAUUGAAUUGCUAGUUCCGUGAGUUAGAGAUAUCCAAACUCUAUCACACUGAUAAGCUAUUGAGAGCUUAUGUGAAACAGAGGAUGAAGAGAGCUGACGUGGAAGGGACAUCUAAAGAUCUCAACAAACAAUGUUGACGUGGCGAGGAGGGAGGAAGAAGUUUGUUACGAUCAGUUUUACAUAAAUAUUUACUUGUUUGUUGCUUUGAUUUUUUAUCGAGUAAUUGUACUUUGAUCAUUGGGCUUGUAGAGAGAUUUUCUCUAUGAGAAGGCAGUAAUUCGAGAGAGUGUUCUCGUUUUGCUGAGGAUCAGAUACUUUGAGGAGAGAUUCUUAUUGUAUUUGAUAUUGACACU
Brassica rapa (field mustard) is the source of this 2132-nucleotide RNA transcript. It is a transcript of the gene named pentatricopeptide repeat-containing protein At3g42630, with no coding region annotated. NCBI's taxonomy places the organism in Eukaryota, Viridiplantae, Streptophyta, Magnoliopsida, Brassicales, Brassicaceae. The record is from RefSeq and is a predicted model, not a curated record.